AAUCAACGCUGGCGGCGUGCCUCAGACAUGCAAGUCGGACGCGAAAUUUCCCUUCGGGGAGAAAGUAGAGUGGCGCACGGGUGAGUAACACGUAGGUAAUUUGCCUUUGGGUGGGGAAUAACUCAGGGAAACUUGAGCUAAUACCGCAUAAUGCAGCGGCUCGACAUCGAGACAGUUGUUAAAGCGGGGGAGUUGGAGCAAUCCGACCUCGCGCCUAAAGAGAAGCCUGCGGCAGAUUAGCUAGUUGGUAAGGUAAUAGGCUUACCAAGGCGACGAUCUGUAACCGGCCUGAGAGGGCGGUCGGUCACACUGACACUGACAUACGGGUCAGACUCCUACGGGAGGCAGC
This 349-nucleotide ribosomal RNA is filed under the name uncultured bacterium. RNAcentral describes it as "bacterial SSU rRNA". It matches the Rfam family "Bacterial small subunit ribosomal RNA", at positions 32 to 352 of the family's 1533-position model. The record is from RNAcentral.